UGGGGUAUAGCUCAGUGGUAGAGUAUGUGCUUGACAUGCAUGAGGUCCUGGGUUCCGUUUCCAGCACCUCCA
This 72-nucleotide transfer RNA is filed under the name Camelus ferus (Wild Bactrian camel). It matches the Rfam family "tRNA". From Rfam's summary of the family: Transfer RNA (tRNA) molecules are approximately 80 nucleotides in length. Their secondary structure includes four short double-helical elements and three loops (D, anti-codon, and T loops). Lineage: Eukaryota; Metazoa; Chordata; Mammalia; Artiodactyla; Camelidae. The record is from Rfam by way of RNAcentral.